This 775-nucleotide long non-coding RNA is filed under the name Lupinus angustifolius (narrow-leaved blue lupine). RNAcentral's name for it is "long non-coding RNA (LANG_LNC001127)". Lineage: Eukaryota; Viridiplantae; Streptophyta; Magnoliopsida; Fabales; Fabaceae. The record is from RNAcentral.
UAAAUUAUUACUGACCCUAGCAGUUGCGAGGUUCCAUCUUAGGUUGGACUCAACUGGACUCACUUUUGUGUGUGGUAAUUUCCAUUCCGAGACAUACCCUUCAAUCCCAUCUCACUUGAUUACUCUUCCAAACCCCUCUCUGGUUUUCUUCUUCUUCAGCUUGACUACUCGUUACUUUACCAUCUCUUCGUGUCCCUACCUCACUUCUCCAAUCUAUCAAUCCUAGCAAACCACCUCUCCCAGACCCGUCAUCCUUCUCGCAGCGUCUCUUUCAUUUGGUACUUGCAUUCAGGUCAGAACUCUCUCUUUCUCCAUUCUAAUUUGCCUCUUCUUUCUUCAUUUGGUGCUUGCUUUCCUGAUGAGAUUUAAAUCUAACAUCGACUUGUCUUGGUUUUAACAUUAGCCUCUCAUAUGAACUUGUCUUCUCCGGUCUUUUAAAUUGUACAUGCUGCUGCGGCCGUGGUUACCUUAUUUAUCGCAAUUGCAGGAUGACGUGGCAAGAUCGCGAUUUCAUUGCGGAGACUCUCCGAAUCAUCAAUAUUAUGGCUGCAAUUGCGGUUUCUCGUACGGUGUAUAAAGAAUUAAAUUAAUCCAACCUGCUUCAACCAUUUUCAAUUUCAUUGCUUUGGUAAAACAUUUUAGAAGAAUCAAACUCAACAUCAAAAUUGAACUCAAUUAACUCGGGUUCGGUAUUUAGUUUGACUUACUCUUGGAUUUGAAUCCUCUAUAGUGAGGUUGUAUCUAAAGUAAGCAAGAGAAAGUAAGGUCAAUCCAG